Sphaerodactylus townsendi is the source of this 1271-nucleotide long non-coding RNA. RefSeq lists it as uncharacterized. The transcript is spliced from 3 exons. NCBI's taxonomy places the organism in Eukaryota, Metazoa, Chordata, Lepidosauria, Squamata, Sphaerodactylidae. The record is from RefSeq and is a predicted model, not a curated record.
AAUUUCUCAGGACUGCACUGGACAGGGUCAGGAUACUAGUCUUGCACCACCAUUAUGAAUUGCUUAAGGAAAUAAUAUGAAAGGAAAACGAUUUUCUUCCAGCCUCCAGCAUGCAUAAGUGAAGCAGGAAAGGAGAUUUUCUCACGGACCAAGGUGAUAAGCAGAGUCUUCCAAUCUGUAACAGUUUAAGUGAACAAAUUUGCUUAUUACCUUUGAGGAUUAUUAGUUUUAUACAAGAAAGGGACAUAUGUGCAUUCCUUGGAGUUCACAAGGAUGAAUGCGGAUUUGUUUGGAUAUGUACCUGUAUUCUCAUCCACAUAAUAAAGCCCAUCCAUGCCUUACUGAACCGAUUGAAUGGGUCUUUUGAUGCCCAAGAGAUGCUCAUCUGACUGUGCAUUCCCAAGCAUGUUUGCUCAGAAGUAAGUUCCACUGUAUUCAUUCCCAGGCACUGGUGAUAGGACUGUUAUCAAAACACACUAUUACAGCCUGUCUUGCUGUUGACCUUCAGGAGAUCAGAUGAAGAUGAUACAUCGGAUACCAAGCCAGUGCUUCCUCCAGCAAUAUGGAAGUACUUUCCACUAUUCAUGGCUGAAAAUAAAACAUUUUUGCACUGAGAAAUAACAUUUUUGCUCAUCUCUAGAUUCAGAAGAAAGAACACUUCAUACCAUAGUUCAAUAAAACAAGAAGUGAACUUCCACAGUUGCUAUAAAGCUUUGUUUUAGACAUGCACUCUAAAAAUUGUCUGUGCUUGCCACAAACAUACAGCUUUUUAAAUCAUUAACAUUAUAAUGAAAAUUGUUUUUAAAACAUCUAUCUUCAGUAUGCUGUUUAAUAUUGAACACUGUAAUGUUAAAUUCCAAAUUUAUGUGUGAAUUAUAAGGUUUUAAAUCUUAUUCUUCAUUGACUGAUUCAUACUUAUUGAAAUGGAGAUGACUCUGAUGAACAGUUCCAAAUGAUACUUGGAAUGUAUUAGAUUUGGUAAAUUUCAGAACUGCUUCUUUUAUAGAAAUUUCCUUAGAAUCUUUUGAAGUUCAACUCCAUUCAUUAUUAGAUUCAUGCCAAAUUUAAUCAUGUAAUAUUUACUGAGAAUUAAUGUUUUAUGUGGAAAAUUAAUGGCUGGAAACCAUUUUCUGUGUAAUCUACAAAUGAAAAUGUGUACCCUGAUACAGGAACAAAAUAUGCAGUCUUGCACAAUUCUAUAAGCCCAUUGAAUUUUAAAGAUGAAAAUACAUUUAACUAGGACCAAAACUGCAAAAUAAUACAAUUGAAUC